UACGCAGGCAGCAAGCGUUGUUCGGAUUUACUGGGCGUAAAGAGUGUGUAGGUGGUGCUCUAAGUUUGGUGUGAAAUCUCCUGGCUUAACCGGGAGGGUGCGCUAAAUACUGGGGUGCUCGAGGGUGGGAGAGGUAAGCGGAAUUCCUGGUGUAGCGGUGAAAUGCGUAGAUAUCAGGAGGAACACCUGUGGUGUAGACAGCUUACUGGACCAUUUCUGACACUGAGACACGAAAGCGUGGGUAGCAAACAGG
This 253-nucleotide ribosomal RNA is filed under the name uncultured bacterium. RNAcentral describes it as "partial 16S ribosomal RNA". It matches the Rfam family "Bacterial small subunit ribosomal RNA", at positions 524 to 776 of the family's 1533-position model. The record is from RNAcentral.